Molecule: ribosomal RNA, 468 nt
Filed under: uncultured soil bacterium
Lineage: Bacteria
Description: bacterial SSU rRNA
Rfam family: Bacterial small subunit ribosomal RNA
Source: RNAcentral
AGGACGAACGCUUGCGGCGUGCCUAAGAAAUGCAAGUCGAGCGGAGGGUCUUCGGACCUUCAGCGGCGAACGGUCGCGUAACACGUAGGCAACCUGCCCCGAAGUGGGGGAUAACAGUCCGAAAGGAUUGCUAAUACCGCAUGUGGCCGGUGGAAGGCAUCUUCUACCGUCUAAAGCAUUUAUGCGCUUCGGGAUGGGCUUGCGGCCUAUCAGCUAGUUGGUGAGGUAAUGGCUCACCAAGGCGACGACGGGUAGCUGGUCUGAGAGGACGAUCAGCCGGAUUGGGACUGAGAUACGGCCCAGACUCCGUACGGGGGGCAGCAAUUAGGAAUCUUGCGCAAUGGGGAAACCCUGACGCAGCGACGCCGCGUGCGGGAUGAAGCAGUUCGUGUCGUAAACGCUUUGCGGGAAGAGAACGGACGGUACCGGCGAACUAACGCCCCGACUAACCUACGUGCCAGCAGCCGC